GAUGAACGCUGGCGGCGUGCCUAAUACAUGCAAGUCGAGCGAACAGACGAGGAGCUGGCUCCUUCGACGUUAGCGGCGGACGGGUGAGUAACAUGUAGGCAACCUACCUAUAAGACUGGGAUACCUCCGGGGAACCGGAGCUACUGCCGGCUAAUAUUUCGAACCGGAUGGUUACCUAGUGAAAUAUGGCUUUGCUAUCACUUAUAGAUGGACCUGCGCCGUAUUAGCUAGUUGGUAAGGUAACGGCUUACCAAGGCAACGAUACGUAGCCGACCUGAGAGGGUGAUCGGCCACACUGGAACUGAGACACGGUCCAGACUCCUACGGGAGGCAGCAGUAGGGAAUCUUGCGCAAUGGGCGAAAGCCUGAUGGAGCAACGCCGCGUGAGUGAUGAAGGUCUUCGGAUCGUAAAGCUCUGUUAUUAGGGAAGAACAAACGUGUAAGUAACUGGGCACGUCUUGACGGUACCUAAUCAGAAAGCCACGGCUAACUACGUG
RNAcentral lists this ribosomal RNA (497 nucleotides) under uncultured bacterium. Its description in RNAcentral is "partial 16S ribosomal RNA". It matches the Rfam family "Bacterial small subunit ribosomal RNA", at positions 28 to 507 of the family's 1533-position model. The record is from RNAcentral.